UAGAGAUUUCAGUUGAUGGCUGGGGCAGUUUCUGCUCUGUUUCUCUUAGAUAUAAAGGGGCGCGUUCUGGUGUGGCGCGACUACCGUGGAGAUGUCUCCGCCGUUCAAGCCGAACGCUUCUUCACCAAGCUCAUCGAAAAAGAGGGAGAUCCGCACUCUCAAGAUCCGGUUGUGUACGACAAUGGAGUCUCUUACAUGUUUAUACAGCACAGUAACGUUUACUUAAUGACUGCGUCGAGGCAGAACUGCAAUGCUGCUGGUCUCCUCUCCUUCCUCCACCGC
RNAcentral lists this unclassified non-coding RNA (282 nucleotides) under Hevea brasiliensis (rubber tree). Lineage: Eukaryota; Viridiplantae; Streptophyta; Magnoliopsida; Malpighiales; Euphorbiaceae. The record is from RNAcentral.